This 210-nucleotide ribosomal RNA is filed under the name uncultured bacterium. Its description in RNAcentral is "partial 16S ribosomal RNA". It matches the Rfam family "Bacterial small subunit ribosomal RNA", at positions 635 to 844 of the family's 1533-position model. The record is from RNAcentral.
GGCAGGCUAGAGUUUUGGAGAGGGGAGUGGAAUUCCAGGUGUAGCGGUGAAAUGCGUAGAUAUCUGGAGGAACAUCAGUGGCGAAGGCGACUCCCUGGUCAGUAACUGACGCUCAUGUGCGAAAGUGUGGGUAGCGAACAGGAUUAGAUACCCUGGUAGUCCACACCGUAAACGCUGUCUACUAGCUGUUUGUGGAUUUAAUCCGUGAGU